Molecule: ribosomal RNA, 274 nt
Filed under: uncultured bacterium
Lineage: Bacteria
Description: partial 16S ribosomal RNA
Rfam family: Bacterial small subunit ribosomal RNA
Source: RNAcentral
AAACGUAGGUGGCAAACGUUAUCCGGAUUUACUGGGCGUAAAGCGCGCGCAGGCGGCUUUGUAAGUCUGACGUGAAAGCUCCCGGCUUAACUGGGAGAGGCCGUUGGAUACUGCGAAGCUUGAGGUUAGGAGAGGAAAGUGGAAUUCCCGGUGUAGUGGUGGAAUGCGUAGAUAUCGGGAGGAACUCCAGUGGCGAAGGCGACUUUCUGGCCUACACCUGACGCUGAGGCGCGAAAGCGUGGGGAGCGAACAGGAUUAGAAACCCCAGUAGUCC